GCCUGGCUGGUUCAGUUGGUAGAGCACAAGACUCUCAAUCUCAGGGUUGUGAGUUCAAGCCCCACGUUGGGCA
Canis lupus familiaris (dog) is the source of this 73-nucleotide non-coding RNA. NCBI's taxonomy places the organism in Eukaryota, Metazoa, Chordata, Mammalia, Carnivora, Canidae. The record is from Rfam.